RNAcentral lists this non-coding RNA (26 nucleotides) under Mus musculus (house mouse). The record is from RNAcentral. Lineage: Eukaryota; Metazoa; Chordata; Mammalia; Rodentia; Muridae.
UAAAACCAGAUACCGUGAAUCUAAUA